This 97-nucleotide transfer RNA is filed under the name Clavibacter michiganensis. RNAcentral's name for it is "tRNA-Leu". It matches the Rfam family "transfer-messenger RNA", at positions 223 to 354 of the family's 374-position model. From Rfam's summary of the family: Bacterial tmRNA, also known as 10Sa RNA or SsrA, is named for its dual tRNA and mRNA-like properties. Its role is to liberate the mRNA from a stalled ribosome. The record is from RNAcentral. Lineage: Bacteria; Bacillati; Actinomycetota; Actinomycetes; Micrococcales; Microbacteriaceae.
AGUUCCGGGGCCGAGCAGGACGCCUUUCCUGGAUACACCCGUAGAAGGCGCAGGAUUACAGCAGUGGACCGGGGUUCGAUUCCCCGCAUCUCCACCA